AGCUUUGCGCAGUGGCAGUAUCGUAGCCUAUGAGGUUUAUCUGAGGUGCGAUUAUUGCUAGUUGAAAACUUUACCCAAUACCCCACCUUGACAACUUGAAAUGAUACAUUUUCUCAGUUUAAACAUUUGAUAUGUCAUCUAUGUU
Neoarius graeffei (lesser salmon catfish) is the source of this 145-nucleotide small nuclear RNA. RefSeq annotates it as U4 spliceosomal RNA. The transcript has a single exon. Lineage: Eukaryota; Metazoa; Chordata; Actinopteri; Siluriformes; Ariidae. The record is from RefSeq and is a predicted model, not a curated record.